RNAcentral lists this ribosomal RNA (459 nucleotides) under uncultured Anoxybacillus sp. RNAcentral describes it as "bacterial SSU rRNA". It matches the Rfam family "Bacterial small subunit ribosomal RNA", at positions 923 to 1382 of the family's 1533-position model. Lineage: Bacteria; Bacillati; Bacillota; Bacilli; Caryophanales; Anoxybacillaceae. The record is from RNAcentral.
GCACAAGCGGUGGAGCAUGUGGUUAAUUCGAAGCAACGCGAAGAACCUUACCAGGUCUUGACAUCCCCUGACAACCCGAGAGAUCGGGCGUUCCCCUUCGGGGGACAGGGUGACAGGUGGUGCAUGGUUGUCGUCAGCUCGUGUCGUGAGAUGUUGGGUUAAGUCCCGCAACGAGCGCAACCCUCGGCCUUAGUUGCCAGCAUUCAGUUGGGCACUCUAAGGUGACUGCCGGCUAAAAGUCGGAGGAAGGUGGGGAUGACGUCAAAUCAUCAUGCCCCUUAUGACCUGGGCUACACACGUGCUACAAUGGGCGGUACAAAGGGUCGCGAACCCGCGAGGGGGAGCCAAUCCCAAAAAGCCGCUCUCAGUUCGGAUUGCAGGCUGCAACUCGCCUGCAUGAAGCCGGAAUCGCUAGUAAUCGCGGAUCAGCAUGCCGCGGUGAAUACGUUCCCGGGCCUU